GACGGACGCUGGCGGCGUGCUUAACACAUGCAAGUCGAACGCUGACCCCGCUUCGGUGGGGGACGGGUGUCGCCCGGUUACGUAACACUUGGGCAACCUUCCCCCGCCUCUGGGAUAACUCCAAGAACUUGGGGCUAAUACCGGUUCUGACCGCUGUCCUCAUGCUCUUGUUUUGGAAGGGUUUUCCGGCCGGGGUUGCGCCCCCGGCCUAUCAGCUUGUUGGUGGGGUAGUGGCUAACCAAGGCGCCGACGGGUAGCCGGCCUGAGAGGGUGACCGGCCACACUGGGACUGAGACACGGCCCAGACGCGUACGGGAGGCAGCAGUGGGGAAUAUUGCGCAAUGGGCGGAAGCCUGACGCAGCGACGCCGCGUGGGGGAUGACGGCCUUCGGGUUGUAAACCUCUUUCAGCAGGGACGAAGCGCAAGUGACGGUACCUGCAGAAGAAGCACCGGCCAACUACGUG
RNAcentral lists this ribosomal RNA (465 nucleotides) under uncultured bacterium. RNAcentral describes it as "partial 16S ribosomal RNA". It matches the Rfam family "Bacterial small subunit ribosomal RNA", at positions 28 to 507 of the family's 1533-position model. The record is from RNAcentral.